CCUACGGGGGGCGGCAGUGGGGAAUUUUGCGCAAUGGGCGAAAGCCUGACGCAGCAACGCCGCGUGAGUGAUGAAGGCCCUCGGGUCGUAAAGCUCUGUCGGGAGGGAAGAAAUGAUUGAGGGAUAAUACCCCUUGGUCUUGACGGUACCUCCGAAGGAAGCACCGGCUAACUCCGUGCCAGCAGCCCCGGUC
Molecule: ribosomal RNA, 193 nt
Filed under: uncultured bacterium
Lineage: Bacteria
Description: partial 16S rRNA
Rfam family: Bacterial small subunit ribosomal RNA
Source: RNAcentral